AUGGUUCAGGAGGCCAAGCUGGAACGGGGCGCCCUGGAAGCCCUCCUAGUCAUGCAGAACUCAGAAAUUAAGCUCUUACAUCUGGCCAAGUGCUAUAAGGAAGCCUUUGGCGUAUUGCUUGACGAGGAGCAUCUGCUCUCAGUCUCAGCCCAAGUCGAAGCACUGAGCACAGUGCUACAGGAUACUGCUGUUCGUGUACUCAAAGGUUGCAACAAUGUCUGGCUUCAGGCGCGUCUCCCGUGGCUGGUCCAGCUGGUCACCUAUGUGUUGGAGAUGCCGGUUCGUUUCCAUGAUUCUGAUGAGUAG
RNAcentral lists this ribosomal RNA (306 nucleotides) under Triticum aestivum (bread wheat). Its description in RNAcentral is "partial small subunit ribosomal RNA". Lineage: Eukaryota; Viridiplantae; Streptophyta; Magnoliopsida; Poales; Poaceae. The record is from RNAcentral.